GGGUUGCUCCUUAUCCUUCUCUUUGCUAUGUUCUCCUUUUGUAGGUGGCCUCUUCCUCAUUUCUUGUCUUCUUUUCUUCAAAAACUUCUUAAACUUUUUAGUAAUGAGGGCCAUUUCUUCAUCCUACUCUUCAUUUUCUAUAUCAUCGGAUUCUUCAUCAGGUUGAGUAGUGGAUUUGAGGAUAAUUAUCCUCUUCUUUUUGACAUCUUUUUCUUGGUGUUGUUUCAUGCUUAGCUCGUAAGUCAUCAGUGAUUCUAGAAGCUCCUCCAAAGGUAAGAUAUUCAGAUCUUUGGCUUCUUGG
Molecule: long non-coding RNA, 301 nt
Filed under: Elaeis guineensis (African oil palm)
Lineage: Eukaryota; Viridiplantae; Streptophyta; Magnoliopsida; Arecales; Arecaceae
Description: long non-coding RNA (EGUI_LNC078150)
Source: RNAcentral